RNAcentral lists this long non-coding RNA (392 nucleotides) under Mytilus galloprovincialis (Mediterranean mussel). Lineage: Eukaryota; Metazoa; Mollusca; Bivalvia; Mytilida; Mytilidae. The record is from RNAcentral.
AUUAUGACAAAGCUACUUUUCAUCGCUAAUGAUAUUCUUGCUUGUAUGCGUAGAGUGAAAUUUACUUCCAUACGGUACCAUAGCUUUUCUUGGGUCCUGGGUCAUUCCGAUGUGUCUACGAUGUUUUUAAAAAGCUCUAGAUCUCCAAUAUCGUAACAAGACUGAAGUGCAUCAUAUCACCAGCCAACUUAGAAAAUUAAACUAGGGUUAUUGCCGGUUACGUCAUUCAUUUUUUAACAACAAAAACACGUAUUAGUAUAAAAAUUCUGAAUAUUGCACUGCUAAAUAAAUGCUAAUUAUAUAAAGUUUCAAAAAUAAGCAAAUUAUUAGACUCUUUAUCCUGUCGAAUUUUACGUCAGUUUAUAGUAAAACAAUUGAUUUCUUGUGUAACA